UGGGGAAUUUUGGACAAUGGGCGCAAGCCUGAUCCAGCCAUGCCGCGUGCGGGAAGAAGGCCUUCGGGUUGUAAACCGCUUUUGUCAGGGAAGAAAUCUUCUGAGUUAAUACCUCGGGAGGAUGACGGUACCUGAAGAAUAAGCACCGGCUAACUACGUGCCAGCAGCCGCGGUAAUACGUAGGGUGCAAGCGUUAAUCGGAAUUACUGGGCGUAAAGCGUGCGCAGGCGGUUUUGUAAGACAGAGGUGAAAUCCCCGGGCUCAACCUGGGAACUGCCUUUGUGACUGCAAGGCUUGAGUGCGGCAGAGGGGGAUGGAAUUCCGCGUGUAGCAGUGAAAUGCGUAGAUAUGCGGAGGAACACCGAUGGCGAAGGCAAUCCCCUGGGCCUGCACUGACGCUCAUGCACGAAAGCGUGGGGAGCAAACAGGAUUAGAUACCCUGGUAGUCCACGCCCUAAACGAUGUCAACUGGUUGUUGGGAAGGUUCCUUCUCAGUAACGUAGCUAACGCGUGAAGUUGACCGCCUGGGGAGUACGGCCGCAAGGUUGAAACUCAAGGGAAUUGACGGGGUCAU
Molecule: ribosomal RNA, 574 nt
Filed under: uncultured bacterium
Lineage: Bacteria
Description: partial 16S ribosomal RNA
Rfam family: Bacterial small subunit ribosomal RNA
Source: RNAcentral